GCUCGUGUACUUACUACGGCGAGAUAAUUCCAUCAGAAAGUUGUUACAGAUGACAGAUUUUGUAAACGACAGAUUUUUUGUCAUAACUGCAAGCCUGCAGGUAUUCCAUCUCAUACGCUUUACACACAUCCAUAAAAGGAUACAGGAAAUAACAACAGUUGGCCCCAAACAGGCUACAUGCAGUAGUGGUAGCAAAGAAACGAUUUAAAGGAGAACUGGCACUUACCUAAAGAAUAAGCGCAGCCGCAGCAGUAGCCGUGUAUGAUUGCCUCGUCGUCUUCGCAGCCGGUGGCCGGACACCCGUUACACCACAUGCCAAUGCCCAUCCAUGACGCUUGAUCAUCGUGCGCCCGCAGACGGCCCACCACAUGAGCGUCGAUGGGGAGGAGAGUACGGGAUCCAUCUUUGUCUUCGUCUCGAGCGUUCUCCUCAGCUUGCCUAUUGAUUAAUUUAAU
Plodia interpunctella (Indianmeal moth) is the source of this 455-nucleotide long non-coding RNA. RefSeq lists it as uncharacterized. Lineage: Eukaryota; Metazoa; Arthropoda; Insecta; Lepidoptera; Pyralidae. The record is from RefSeq and is a predicted model, not a curated record. The transcript has 3 exons.